RNAcentral lists this ribosomal RNA (462 nucleotides) under Burkholderia ubonensis. RNAcentral's name for it is "bacterial SSU rRNA". It matches the Rfam family "Bacterial small subunit ribosomal RNA", at positions 1066 to 1533 of the family's 1533-position model. The record is from RNAcentral. Lineage: Bacteria; Pseudomonadati; Pseudomonadota; Betaproteobacteria; Burkholderiales; Burkholderiaceae.
CGUGAGAUGUUGGGUUAAGUCCCGCAACGAGCGCAACCCUUGUCCUUAGUUGCUACGCAAGAGCACUCUAAGGAGACUGCCGGUGACAAACCGGAGGAAGGUGGGGAUGACGUCAAGUCCUCAUGGCCCUUAUGGGUAGGGCUUCACACGUCAUACAAUGGUCGGAACAGAGGGUCGCCAACCCGCGAGGGGGAGCCAAUCCCAGAAAACCGAUCGUAGUCCGGAUUGCACUCUGCAACUCGAGUGCAUGAAGCUGGAAUCGCUAGUAAUCGCGGAUCAGCAUGCCGCGGUGAAUACGUUCCCGGGUCUUGUACACACCGCCCGUCACACCAUGGGAGUGGGUUUUACCAGAAGUGGCUAGUCUAACCGCAAGGAGGACGGUCACCACGGUAGGAUUCAUGACUGGGGUGAAGUCGUAACAAGGUAGCCGUAUCGGAAGGUGCGGCUGGAUCACCUCCUUUC